ACUCCUACGGGAGGCAGCAGUGGGGAAUAUUGCACAAUGGGGGAAACCCUGAUGCAGCCAUGCCGCGUGUGUGAAGAAGGCCUUCGGUUGUAAAGCACUUUCAGUAGGGAGGAAGGUAGUGUAGUUAACACCUGCACUAUUUGUACGUUACCUACAGAAGAAGCACCGGCUAACUCCGUGCCAGCAGCCGCGGUAAUACGGAGGGUGCGAGCGUUAAUACGGAAUUACUGGGCGUAAAGCGCAUGCAGGCGGCCUGUUAAGUCAGAUGUGAAAGCCCGGGGCUUAACCUCGGAAUUGCAUUUGAAACUGGCAGGCUAGAGUCUGUAGAGGGGUUAGAAUUUCGAGUGUAGCGUGAAAUGCGUAGAGAUCUAGAAGGAAUACC
Molecule: ribosomal RNA, 382 nt
Filed under: uncultured bacterium
Lineage: Bacteria
Description: bacterial SSU rRNA
Rfam family: Bacterial small subunit ribosomal RNA
Source: RNAcentral